UCGCCUCACCUCCUGCCCCAGGCCCUGACACUGAGUGUGAUGCAGGGAGAGGCUACCUCAUCCGUCUGCUCUAAGCCCCCAAAUUCCAAUCUGCACUUCCGCACCCUCAAAGAGGUCCCACGGGUCUGCCAAGCCACCUACACCUCCCGGCUGUGUUGGAGGUGUAUUUCCCCUCCCCAGCCCCAGGCACUACCCUGGUCUGGCCAACUGCAUCUUCCUGUCUAGAGUUCUGCACCCAGCAUUUAAGACCCUUGGUGGUCUGGCACCUACCUGCUCUUUUCCUAGCCUCCAGCCAUCCGGAGUUGCUCAGUGUUGCCCACCCACGGCCUGACCUCCCAGUCCUGCUGGCUCUUGGCCUGUGCUCAUCUCCGGGCCAGGGGGCCACCUCAUCUGCCUGCGACUCCUACUCGGCCUUCGGCCCCAGCUGGGGAGUUGGCUCCAUCGUGGCAAAGUCAGAAGUCCCUCCUCUGGGUUCCCAAAGCACGUAUAUAUACAUGGCGUCAAAUUAUUUCUCUAACUGCCUCCACCACCCACCCUGUGAGUCCCUUGUGAGCAGAGGCUGAGUCUGACUGUGUUGAAUCCGUGGUGUGACACGUGCUGGACGCUCAUUAAGUCCGGGCGGAAUUCAUCUCCCGGCAGAGUUUUGGGGAAAGACGUCUGGCUCACACCAGAGCCGUGGGGGCGUCUCACCUCGAGACCCUGCUGCUAGGCCAAGCUUCCAGGCCCUCCCCAGAAGUAAGUGUGGUAUGGUGCAAAGCCAUACCUCCCCAACCACCCUGUGUCACAUUCCAGCUUUGCCUCUCAAUUGCCCACUGCAUGCCCUUGAACAUGUCAUUCAUUCAUUCAUUCAUUUAUUCAGUCAGCAUUUAAUGGACAUUUUGGUGGCUUUGGUGUGUGUCAACUUAGCUAAGCUGAACUACAUUUCCCAGAAUUCCUUUGCCCCCAGGGUCCUGGGUUAGGGUUGGCCAUAGGACAAAUGCCUGCGAGAUUUGGAAGGCAGAAGUGGCGGCAGCCAUUUUGUUACAAUCUGUAGGUUGUGCAGAGCAGGCACAAGGACACCUGGUGCACACUGUGGCUGGACUGCUGGCUUACCUUGUUGGGCUAGGGCAGCCGCUGGGCCCACAGGUCCUCCAGGUGCUGGGCCAGGUGUGCGGCUCUGGGGCCCAGCAGAGACACGGAGACAAGCCCUCCCACGGACUAAUUAACCAGCUCCCACCAGCGAGGGAGGGAUGGGGUCUUGCUGUGUUGCCCAGGCUGGUCUUGAACUC
This is a non-coding RNA of Microcebus murinus (gray mouse lemur), 1268 nucleotides long. The record is from RefSeq and is a predicted model, not a curated record. Lineage: Eukaryota; Metazoa; Chordata; Mammalia; Primates; Cheirogaleidae.